Molecule: long non-coding RNA, 1591 nt
Organism: Magnolia sinica
Lineage: Eukaryota; Viridiplantae; Streptophyta; Magnoliopsida; Magnoliales; Magnoliaceae
Exons: 3
Source: RefSeq, a predicted model, not a curated record
CACUACAACAAAAGGAGGAUUAGCCGACGAUGUAUUUGGCUAAUCAGCGGCGCUAAUUAAAACGGGGCGUUAGUUUGCGAUUGGGUAUAAAUACCGUACGAAAAGCCCUAAGCCUCUUUUGCUUCUUUUGCUCCCCUCUCCCAACGCUCUCUCUCUCUCUCUCUCUCUCUCUCUCUCUCUCUCUCUCUCUCUCUCUCUCUCUCUCUCUGUGUCUUUUACAGACCAGAUCUAAUUGUACUUUAAUGCAUCAGAUCCCUUGAGCAAGCUGUAGGAAAGAGCUUGGAUCAUCCCAGCUUUUUGGAACAUCCUUGCAUACUUAUUACUUGCUGUAAUAUGUAUCCUUUAGGCCCCAUUGCAUAACCCAACUAGGUAAUUUCUGGAAUCUUUUGCUUUUCCUUUUCCCUUGUCUACUAAUUGUUGAAAAUUUCAAUGUUGUUGUUGUUGCAAAUUAGGGUUUACUCCUGUGUUGUACAAUGUAUCCUGCAUCGUAAGCCAUCAGUUCAAAGCCACCACUUUCUGAGAAGGGCAAUCUUCAUCUGAUUGAUUUGCACACAACACAACUAAGUAAUAUUUAUGUCAGUGAUCCUGAUCAUUCGACUGAAAUUUUUUUCUGGAGAGAUUCAAGCCUAUUAGUUACAUUCUAGGACAUCUGAAAAUGGACAUCCUAUGGAUUGAGAUAUAACCAAAGCCACCUUAAUGAUCGUAAACUGGCCUCCUAAGAUAACAAGUGACAUUUCAAGUCUCUAGACCAUUCAUCCCAAAUCACAUUAGGAGUUUUUUCCAUUACACAAUGGAGCCCAAUAUGAAGAAUUGGGAAGGGAGUCAAUUAGCUCAGGAUUGCUGCUGUCUCCUUGAUUUGGCUAACUUCUAAAUCAACCCCAUUAUGACAUUGAGAUGGUUCUUUCUUAGUUUUAUUUUUAAUUUUUAUUUAUUUACUUCUUUGGGGUACCAAGUUCCUGCUAAUUUAGGUGGAAUUGAAACCUGGAAAACAGAACCUAUGCUCACUGUGAUCUCCCUUCCAUGGGGAGGGUGACCAAAAUUGACAAUGGAGUGGUAGUCGCCCUCGCCCAAGUUAUUUUCAUUUGGAUUAUGCCCAUCUUCCUUGAGGUUUUUACAUGUCACUUCACAGGGUUUGACUGCCUUGACUCUACUUUCUUCCUUUUGCUACCUUGGGGUCAUGGGCAUAUUAAUAUCUCAAUAUUUUAUGAAGUCCUAAUACAGUGGGCCCUUCUCCACUCUAGAUCUUUCAAAAGGUGGUUCUUACCUGAUAUUGUACUUGGUCCCUCUAAACUUCUUGUGACCAUACUUUGAAUCUAUACUCGUACGGGUUUGAUUGAAGGAAACAGAACAGAGGCCUUAUAUGUUAUGAAAUGUAAGUAAUGUUUGACAUGUGAAACAUCUUAUUUUUCCAACUAUGUUUCUAAAUUCUUUGAAUCUCUUUUGCUCUUAUGCUUAUCUUUCUCCUUCAGCAAAUAUUUAUUCAUCAAUAAUUAGUAUAGUUGAUAUGGUUUGAUGUUAAUUUCAAACUUUACGAGGUGACUAGUUGGCAACUCUGAUCUUUGAGUUGGUGGGUGUAAGAAAAAUAACUUCU